Chelonoidis abingdonii (Abingdon island giant tortoise) is the source of this 89-nucleotide non-coding RNA. NCBI's taxonomy places the organism in Eukaryota, Metazoa, Chordata, Testudines, Testudinidae. The record is from RefSeq and is a predicted model, not a curated record.
GGAAGAAGAGCAGGGGAGGGAAGCAUUACUAAUUCUGGGGUUAUUUUCUAUUGUUCCAGGAAAGAACAGGCUACGGGGAAGGAGAGAAA